Molecule: unclassified non-coding RNA, 200 nt
Filed under: Hyaloscyphaceae sp.
Lineage: Eukaryota; Fungi; Ascomycota; Leotiomycetes; Helotiales; Hyaloscyphaceae
Description: partial internal transcribed spacer 2
Source: RNAcentral
UUAAGUUCAGCGGGUAUCCCUACCUGAUCCGAGGUCAAACUAUAAAAUUUGAGGUUGCUGGCCAGCAGCCACCGGGACCCAACAGCGAGAAAAAUUACUACGCUGAGGGACACGAUAGCGCCGCCACUGUUUUUGAGGCCCGCCGUUGCCGGCGCGGCCCAAGACAAGCAAAGCUUGAGGGUUGAAAUGACGCUCGAACA